RNAcentral lists this ribosomal RNA (460 nucleotides) under uncultured bacterium. RNAcentral's name for it is "partial 16S ribosomal RNA". It matches the Rfam family "Bacterial small subunit ribosomal RNA", at positions 338 to 795 of the family's 1533-position model. The record is from RNAcentral.
CCUACGGGUGGCAGCAGUGAGGAAUAUUGGUCAAUGGACGCAAGUCUGAACCAGCCAUGCCGCGUGCAGGAUGACGGCUCUAUGAGUUGUAAACUGCGUUUGUACGAGGGUAAACCCCGAUACGUGUAUCAGGUUGCAAUUAUCGUACGAAGAAGGAUCGGCUAACUCCGUUACAGCAGCAGAGGUCAUACGGAGGAUCCGAGCGUUGUCCGGAUUUGUUGGGUUUAAAGGGUGCGUAGGCGGUUUGAUAAGUUAGAGGUGAAAUGUCGGGGCUCAACCCCGAGACUGCCUCUAAUACUGUUGGACUAGAGAAUAGUUGAGGUAGGCGGAAUGUAUGGUGUAGCGGUGAAAUGCUUAGAGAUCAGACAGAACACCGAUUGCGAAGGCAGCUUACCGAAUUAUAUCUGACGUUGAGGGACGAAAGCGUGGGUAGCAAACAGGAUUAGAUACCCCUGUAGUC